Molecule: unclassified non-coding RNA, 394 nt
Filed under: uncultured Planctomycetia bacterium
Lineage: Bacteria; Pseudomonadati; Planctomycetota; Planctomycetia
Description: contains 16S-23S intergenic spacer region
Source: RNAcentral
UCCGGUUUGACACCGGCAGUCCCCCUAGAGUGCCCCGCGAGGGUUGCAACUAGGGGUAAGGGUUUCGCUCGUUAUGGGACUUAACCCGACAUCUCACGACACGAGCUGACGACAGCCAUGCAGCACCUGUACGAGCUUCCGGGUUGGGUACCGUUCGUCCCCGUUUCCGGGUCCUACCUGCUCGCGCUUUCGCACAUGUCAAGUCCGGGAUAAGGUUCUUCGCGUAGCCUCGAAUUAAGCCACAUGCUCCACCGCUUGUGUGAGCCCCCGUCAAUUCCUUUGAGUUUCAGCCUUGCGGCCAUACUCCCCAGGCGGGGAACUUAGCACUUUUGCUCCGGCAGUCAGCCCAUGUCAGGCCGACUACCUAGUUCCCAACGUUUAGGGCCAGGACUAC